Molecule: ribosomal RNA, 484 nt
Filed under: uncultured bacterium
Lineage: Bacteria
Description: partial 16S ribosomal RNA
Rfam family: Bacterial small subunit ribosomal RNA
Source: RNAcentral
AUUGAACGCUGGCGGCAGGCCUAACACAUGCAAGUCGAACGGAAGAACGGUGCUUGCUCCUGUAUUCAGGGGCGGAGGGGCGUAUAAUGCCGGGGAACCUCCCUGCUAGCUGGGGAUAGCGUGCGAAAAUGGGCGCUAAUACGGCAAACGCCCCUAGGGAGAAAGUGGGGGAGCAUGGGAUCUCAGGCUAUCAGGUGAGCGCAGGUCGGAAUAGCUAGUUGGUGGGGUAAAGGCCUACCGAGGCGACGAUCCGUAACUGGUCUGAGAGGAUGAUCAGGCACACUGGAACUGAGACACGGUCCAGACUCCUACGGGAGGCAGCAGUGGGGAAUAUUGGACAAUGGGCGAAAGCCUGAUCCAGCCAUGCCGCGUGUGUGAAGAAGGUCUUCGGAUUGUAAAGCACUUUUAGUUGGGAGGAAGGGCAGCAAGUUAAUACCUUGCUGUUUUGACGGUACCAACAGAAUAAGCACCGGCUAACUUCGUG